AAGCAGUCAAACCCUCGCGCUCCCAAUUUGCUUUGGGAGCGCGAGGGUUUGACUGCUGA
RNAcentral lists this microRNA precursor (59 nucleotides) under Heligmosomoides polygyrus. RNAcentral's name for it is "microRNA hpo-mir-10159 precursor". The record is from miRBase by way of RNAcentral. Lineage: Eukaryota; Metazoa; Nematoda; Chromadorea; Rhabditida; Heligmosomidae.